Molecule: ribosomal RNA, 252 nt
Filed under: uncultured prokaryote
Description: partial 16S rRNA
Rfam family: Archaeal small subunit ribosomal RNA
Source: RNAcentral
ACCGGCGGCUCGAGUGGUGGCCACUAUUAAUGGGCUUAAAGCGUUCGUAGCUGGCUUGUUAAGUCUCUGGGGAAAUCUUCCGGCUCAACCGGAAGGCGUCUCAGGGAUACUGGCAGGCUAGGGACCGGAAGAGGUGAGAGGUACUCCAGGGGGAGGAGUGAAAAGCAGUAAUCAGUGAGGGAGAACCGAGGGCGGAGGAGUCAAACCAGGUCGGAUCCGACAGUGAUGGACGAGAGCUACGAAAGCAAACAG